RNAcentral lists this ribosomal RNA (292 nucleotides) under Melanocystis kawakawa. Its description in RNAcentral is "partial small subunit ribosomal RNA". The stretch from base 70 to 292 matches the Rfam family "Eukaryotic small subunit ribosomal RNA", at positions 628 to 866 of the family's 1831-position model. Lineage: Eukaryota; Metazoa; Platyhelminthes; Trematoda. The record is from RNAcentral.
UCUGGGUUGCAUGNCCGCACNCCGUGGUAAGUACUUUUCAUCCAUCGCGGAUGGGNCAACUGCCUGGUGUCGUGGUUGUGCGAUCUUUCUGCCGUAUCUGUUAAUUCAGGUGCUGGUUGANUUUCAGCUAGCAUGCUCUCUGAUGCCNUUAAUUGGGUGUCUGGGGCAGACGGCACGUUUACUUUGAACAAAUUUGAGUGCUCAAAGCAGGCCGUAGUGCCUGAAAAGUCUUGCAUGGAAUAAUGGAAUAGGACUUCGGUUCUAUUUUGUUGGAAUUCGNAUCCGGCCUAAU